GGAGGGAUGCCGGAGUGGUUGAACGGGGCGGUCUCGAAAACCGUUGUGCCCUUCACGGGCACCCAGGGUUCGAAUCCCUGUCCCUCCGCCA
This 91-nucleotide transfer RNA is filed under the name Alphaproteobacteria bacterium. RNAcentral's name for it is "tRNA-Ser". It matches the Rfam family "tRNA". From Rfam's summary of the family: Transfer RNA (tRNA) molecules are approximately 80 nucleotides in length. Their secondary structure includes four short double-helical elements and three loops (D, anti-codon, and T loops). RNAcentral also lists the same sequence under 1 other name. The record is from RNAcentral. Lineage: Bacteria; Pseudomonadati; Pseudomonadota; Alphaproteobacteria.